AUAGACACACAUGUAAAUGAUAUAUAAAGUAUAUGGGCAUCACAGGAGACAGGAAGAUCUGUACUGAAGAUAAAGACAAUAUUAUACUGUUGAAAAAUAAGUAUAAACUCCCAGUUUAUGUGACCACACUUUAAAUGACCACACCUUGAUUUUGCCUACAGCGAAAUCAGUAUGGUCUUUAGGUUCCCUAGAUUUUACCAUUGUGGUUCUCACACAAGAGGUGUUUCAGCAAGUUCUGAACAUGCACAUUUGUCUCAGCAAUAAAAAUGAGGACUCCCUUUUUAUUUUCAGUACUGAUGUUCAAAACAAGCUUCCCCACAUGGGAGCAUUGUUCACUCUAUCAGAUUUGUUAUUAGAGUGGUCCCGACUUUGCUUUAUGUUUGCAUACUGGUCUUCAGAUGAGAGGGGACAGUGAAAUCAUCAUGGUACUGCUUUUGUGACAAACACCAGUGCCUUACCAAUGUGGUUGUCCUUUUCAACUGAAGAGGGAAAGUUUGUUUUGUUUUGUUUUUGAUGUAGAAAUGGCAGUUUGCUGCUGUUGCUUUUCCACUGCCUUCCACAUUGCAACAGCUACUUGACUUGUCUUGUGAUCCCAGAAUUCCCUAAGAGGUCACAUUGAGCCUGUGACAGCACUGUCAGUGCUUGGCUUCUCAGACUUGAGGAUGCCUCUGUCACCUGGGAGUUUACAAAAUGAGACUCUAGGUGUGCAGGAAGUCUGCCUGCAAAGUGGGAUCUGCAGCAUGUUUAACAGGUGGGGUGAUGCUGCUUUGGGAGAGCUGGGCUUGUGUAGAGAGCACUGCCUGGGACCCAUGCAUUUUUGCCUCCAGAAAAUCUACAAAGUUUCCUCGGUUUUUAAAACAUGUAAAUGUUUACUUAUCCUGAGUAUAGCGAGAAGGGGAGGGUAUUUUAAGUUUUUGUUGUAUUUCUUUAAACUUUUCUUUAAAAAUACUGGUUUGAUUCACUUAUCUGAGUUAGCUUCCAUGUUGAAUCUGUUGCCAUUUUAGUAGUAAAACCAGCCAAAAGUUUCUAGACAAAGGGCAGGUUUGACCCUUUAAGAGUUACUGUAUAUAAUGGCUUCAUUCAAGAGCCACGCAGCGUCCAUGAGCAAGUGCAGAAACGACACAAGCACACUCUCCAGAUGCCGCGGGACUCUUUCCUUUUUGGUGUACAGACUCUCACCAAAAGCUGCUGUUUUCUUUCUUGUAAUUGUUUCCUCGCUUCUCCUCCAUUGUACAUGUGGGGUAUAUGCCAUGUGUCAAAUAUGCAAUAACGUGUUUACCGGAUGCCCUUCUGAAGGGUGGUCCUCUGUAAAGCUGUACAGACUUUGCAGUCCAAGCACAAUGUGCACAUGUUAGUUUUAUAUACAGCGAAACUUGAUUUUUUCAAAUGGAAAGGUAUUUUGUUUCUAUACAAAGUUUAAUGGGUUGUUUGUGCUUAAUGUAAAACUGCUUUAUA
RNAcentral lists this long non-coding RNA (1455 nucleotides) under Cricetulus griseus (Chinese hamster). Its description in RNAcentral is "lncRNA (ENSCGRG00015041540.1)". The record is from RNAcentral. Lineage: Eukaryota; Metazoa; Chordata; Mammalia; Rodentia; Cricetidae.